UGGGGAAUAUUGGACAAUGGAGGCAACUCUGAUCCAGCAAUUCUGUGUGUGUGAAGAAGGUUUUAGGACUGUAAAACACUUUUAGUAGGGAAGAAAGAAAUGACGGUACCUACAGAAGAAGCGACGGCUAAAUACGUGCCAGCAGCCGCGGUAAUACGUAGGGGGCGAGCGUUAUCCGGAUUCAUUGGGCGUAAAGCGCGCGCAGGCGGUUGCUCAAGCGGAACCUCUAAUCUCGGGGCUUAACCUCGAGCCGGGUUCCGAACUGGACGACUCGAGUGCGGUAGAGGCAGAUGGAAUUCCCGGUGUAGCGGUGGAAUGCGCAGAUAUCGGGAAGAACACCAACGGCGAAGGCAGUCUGCUGGGCCGUCACUGACGCUGAGGCGCGAAAGCUGGGGGAGCGAACAGG
Molecule: ribosomal RNA, 406 nt
Filed under: Verrucomicrobiota bacterium
Lineage: Bacteria; Pseudomonadati; Verrucomicrobiota
Description: Verrucomicrobia bacterium partial 16S ribosomal RNA
Rfam family: Bacterial small subunit ribosomal RNA
Source: RNAcentral